AAACCAACAGGGAUUGCCUCAGUAACGGCGAGUGAAGCGGCAAAAGCUCAAAUUUGAAAUCUGGCACUUUCAGUGUCCGAGUUGUAAUUUGUAGAAGUAGUUUUGGGACUGGUCCUUAUCUAUGUUUCUUGGAACAGGACGUCAUAGAGGGUGAGAACCCCGUAUGAUGAGGCCCCCAGUCCUUUGUAAAACGCUUUCGAAGAGUCGAGUUGUUUGGGAAUGCAGCUCUAAGUGGGUGGUAAAUUCCAUCUAAAGCUAAAUAUUGGCGAGAGACCGAUAGCGAACAAGUACAGUGAUGGAAAGAUGAAAAGAACUUUGAAAAGAGAGUGAAAAAGUACGUGAAAUUGUUGAAAGGGAAGGGCAUUUGAUCAGACAUGGUGUUUUUUAAAUGUGCAAGUCUCUCGUGGACAUGUGCCUCUGGGAAAUUAACACUGGGCCAACAUCAGUUCUGGCGGCAGGAUAAAUCAUUAAGAAUGUAGCUACUUCGGUAGUGUUAUAGCUUUUUGGAAUACUGCC
This 516-nucleotide ribosomal RNA is filed under the name uncultured Hanseniaspora. Its description in RNAcentral is "eukaryotic LSU rRNA". It matches the Rfam family "Eukaryotic large subunit ribosomal RNA", at positions 62 to 575 of the family's 3401-position model. The record is from RNAcentral. Lineage: Eukaryota; Fungi; Ascomycota; Saccharomycetes; Saccharomycodales; Saccharomycodaceae.